GACGAACGCUGGCGGCGUGCUUAACACAUGCAAGUCGAACGGUGAACGAGGGAGCUUGCUCCCUCCGGAUCAGUGGCGAACGGGUGAGUAACACGUGAGCAAUCUGCCCCGAACUCUGGGAUAAGCGUUGGAAACGACGUCUAAUACCGGAUACUACGCGGGAGGGCAUCCUCUCCGCGUGGAAAGAACUUCGGUUCGGGCUGAGCUCGCGGCCUAUCAGCUUGUUGGUGAGGUAACGGCUCACCAAGGCGACGACGGGUAGCCGGCCUGAGAGGGUGACCGGCCACAAUGGGACUGAGAGACGGACCAGACGGCUACGGGAGGCAGCAGUGGGGAAUAUUGCACAAUGGGCGCAAGCCUGAUGCAGAAACGCCGCGUGAGGGACGACGGCCUUCGGGUUGUAAACCUCUGUUAGCAGGGAAGAAGCGAAAGUGACGGUACCUGCAGAAAAAGCACCGGCUAACUACGUG
This 470-nucleotide ribosomal RNA is filed under the name uncultured bacterium. RNAcentral's name for it is "partial 16S ribosomal RNA". It matches the Rfam family "Bacterial small subunit ribosomal RNA", at positions 28 to 507 of the family's 1533-position model. The record is from RNAcentral.